UCACCUCUCUGGCCUAAAAAGCUCAGGUGACUUCCAGUAGCGAGGGUCCAUGUGCAGCAGGUGCGCAGGAAUCCCAACCAGAGUUCCUUCAGGGAUGGUGAUGCCGUUGAUCUGCACAGUUUUCUUGCAGGCCCUUUCAAGUCGAGGUG
Acanthochromis polyacanthus (spiny chromis) is the source of this 149-nucleotide long non-coding RNA. RefSeq lists it as uncharacterized. Lineage: Eukaryota; Metazoa; Chordata; Actinopteri; Pomacentridae. The transcript has 2 exons. The record is from RefSeq and is a predicted model, not a curated record.